Molecule: non-coding RNA, 136 nt
Organism: Hordeum vulgare subsp. vulgare (domesticated barley)
Lineage: Eukaryota; Viridiplantae; Streptophyta; Magnoliopsida; Poales; Poaceae
Source: Rfam
ACCGUACUCCCUUUGUCCCAAAAUUCUUGUUUUAGAUUUGUCUUGAUAUGAAUGUAUCUAGUCAUGUUUUGGUAUUUAGAUACAUUCAUUUCUAGACAAACAUAAGACAAAAAAUUUAAGACGGAGGAAGUACUUA